This 460-nucleotide ribosomal RNA is filed under the name uncultured bacterium. RNAcentral describes it as "partial 16S ribosomal RNA". It matches the Rfam family "Bacterial small subunit ribosomal RNA", at positions 338 to 795 of the family's 1533-position model. The record is from RNAcentral.
CCUACGGGCGGCAGCAGUGAGGAAUAUUGGUCAAUGGGCGCGAGCCUGAACCAGCCAUGCCGCGUGAAGGAUGACUGCCCUACGGGUUGUAAACUUCUUUUAUAAGGGAAUAAAGUCAGGUACGUGUGCCUGUUUGUAUGUAUUUUAUGAAUAAGGAUCGGCUAACUCCGUGCCAGCAGCCGCGGUAAUACGGAGGAUUCGAGCGUUAUCCGGAUUUAUUGGGUUUAAAGGGAGCGUAGGCGGUCUGUUAAGUUAGAUGUGAAAUUUUGCGGCUCAACCGUAGAAUUGCAUUUGAUACUGGCAGUCUUGAGUAUAGUUGAGGUAGGCGGAAUGCAUGGUGUAGCGGUGAAAUGCUUAGAGAUCACACAGAACUCCGAUUGCGAAGGCAGCUUACUAAGCUACCACUGACAUUGAGGCUCGAAAGUGUGGGGAUCAAACAGGAUUAGAUACCCGGGUAGUC